Molecule: long non-coding RNA, 730 nt
Organism: Phacochoerus africanus (Common warthog)
Lineage: Eukaryota; Metazoa; Chordata; Mammalia; Artiodactyla; Suidae
Exons: 6
Source: RefSeq, a predicted model, not a curated record
UCCAGGGGAUAAAAUUAAGAAAACAUGGGUCAAUGAAAAGGGCAACCCCCUUAUUUCUCUUGAUUUUUCUUUUUUGCCACAGUAGAUAUCUUGGCAUCUGACCUGCCAGAAUGAAGAUUGGAAUGUGUGAUUCCAAGCCAGGAGGAAGUAAAUUCUAUGUACUGGAGCCCCAUGGUUACUUUUGGAAUGGUCUGCUAGAUUUGACCAGCGUUGGAAAGUGUGUACUUGAUGAUGGGUGAACAGUUAAGAUGGAGUACCAAGGCCAAGGGGCAGGCAGGCUCACAGAUGGACCUUUGGAACUAAUCCAGAUGCAGAGCAACUCUAAACUCAUCCAUCGAGCCAAAGGUUUGGGUCUGAAUGAAUGUCCAGGGAAGAAAACGUUAUUUUAGCUAACAGGAAGAUAUAGACAGCAUUCGGAAAAUUUCAGUUUUAAAGGGUCCUAACGAGCCUGGAGAAUUACUAUGAAGCCCUCUUCUUAUGAGAGGACAGAUCUGGACAUGUGUGGAUGGGUUUACCUAAGGUGAGGCUCACCCAUGGAAGCAACAGUGGCAAGCCCCAGCAAAGGGGAAUCACGGAGUCCAAACACAGCCUCUGAGGAACAGCAACUCUCCAUGACAAGUGGCAGAAACCCCAGGGGUUCCAAGGAUGUACCCCUUGGCCAACAAGUGGGAAAGUGCUAGACUCCCAUAUCUGUAUCUGCUUCUCUACUCUUCAUCACCUCCAAAUCUCA